RNAcentral lists this ribosomal RNA (403 nucleotides) under uncultured bacterium. RNAcentral describes it as "bacterial SSU rRNA". It matches the Rfam family "Bacterial small subunit ribosomal RNA", at positions 99 to 507 of the family's 1533-position model. The record is from RNAcentral.
CGGAAGGGUGAGUAAGGCGACGGUAAUCAACCCCAUGGUUGGGUAUAGCCGCGGGAAACUGCGGGUAAUCCCCAGCGACGUCCGGAUCGGGCAUCCGAAUCGGACCAAAGUCCUGGCGCCGUGGGACGAGCCGUCGUGGUAUUAGGUCGUUGGCGGGGUAAUGGCCCACCAAGCCUAUGAUGCCUACCGGGCGUGCGAGCGUGGCCCGGCACACUGGGACUGAGACACUGCCCAGACUCCUACGGGAGGCUGCAGUCGAGAAUCUUCGGCAAUGGGCGCAAGCCUGACCGAGCGACGCCGCGUGGAGGAUGAAGGCCUUCGGGUUGUAAACUCCUGUCGAGGGGGAAGAAGGUCGGGUAACCGGCUUGACCGAUCCCUGGAGGAAGCACGGGCUAAGUUCGUG